GAUCCUGGCUUAGGAUUAACGCUGGCGGCAUGCCUAAUACAUGCAAGUCGAAUGGUUAGCUUGCUAACCAUGGCGAACGGGUGAGUAACACGUAGGUAACCUGUCUCAAGACGAGGAUAACCAUUGGAAACGAUGGAUAAUACUGGAUAGGACAAAUCCCCGCAUGAGGAGAUGUUUAAAGGAGCAAUCCACUUGAUGAGGGGCCUGCGGUGCAUUAGCUAGUUGGUGAGGUAAAGGCCCACCAAGGCGAUGAUGCAUAGCCGGACUGAGAGGUUGAACGGCCACAAUGGAACUGAGAACGGUCCAUACUCCUACGGGAGGCAGCAGUAGGGAAUUUUCGGCAAUGGGCGGAAGCCUGAACCCGAGCAAUGCCGCGUGAACGAUGAAGUAUUUCGGUAUGUAAAGUUCUUUUAUUUGGGAAGAAAAAACAAAUUGACGGUACCAAAUGAAUAAGCUCCGGCUAACUACGUGCCAGCAGCCGC
This 482-nucleotide ribosomal RNA is filed under the name uncultured bacterium. RNAcentral describes it as "bacterial SSU rRNA". It matches the Rfam family "Bacterial small subunit ribosomal RNA", at positions 15 to 518 of the family's 1533-position model. The record is from RNAcentral.